RNAcentral lists this ribosomal RNA (424 nucleotides) under uncultured soil bacterium. RNAcentral describes it as "bacterial SSU rRNA". It matches the Rfam family "Bacterial small subunit ribosomal RNA", at positions 26 to 472 of the family's 1533-position model. The record is from RNAcentral.
AGAACGAACGCUGGCGGCAUGCCUAAUACAUGCAAGUCGAACGAAGGCUUCGGCCUUAGUGGCGCACGGGUGCGUAACGCGUGGGAAUCUGCCCCUUGGUUCGGAAUAACAGUUGGAAACGACUGCUAAUACCGGAUGAUGACGAAAGUCCAAAGAUUUAUCGCCAAGGGAUGAGCCCGCGUAGGAUUAGCUAGUUGGUGAGGUAAAGGCUCACCAAGGCGACGAUCCUUAGCUGGUCUGAGAGGAUGAUCAGCCACACUGGGACUGAGACACGGCCCAGACCUCCGUACGGGGAGCAGCAGGUAGGGAAUAUUGGACAAGUGGGACAAAGCCUGAUCCAGCAAUCGCCGCGUGAGUGAUAGGAAGGUCCGUUAGGGUGUAAAGUCUUACUUUACCCGGAGAGUAGAUAAGUGAACUAGUAGUA